ACACACAAAUACCAUUGCCUAAACACACACACCUCACCCCCCCUCUACUGGUCGGGUGCUCAGAACAGAAGACUCUGCUUUGCACCAAUGGGGCUCCUGCUCUGGCCAGAGCAGGUCCGCCUCCAACCCUUCAGGACCAUCCAGAAGGCGACAAGACUCUACCUACUUUAUUCUAUGUAUAAAAAUGAUUGUAACCUUUGUAUAGGUCCCUUUUUCACCUAACUCCCUACUGAGUUAUGCGAAUAGGUCCGUGCACGUUAAACUGCAGGACAAGAUAUCUUUGACUCAUUAAAACUGCCUUUUGUUACAACUGAAAUCCACUCUGUCCAGCGUCCGUGAUUUGGUCUCGACUCUCCAGUAUUUGAACAUCAACAGUAACUACAUCAGGGGUGUAUUCACUAGGAACCAAACAGCAAAAUGAACUGGCUGUGAUGGACAGCAACAACUUCUUUGGAAACUGUGGUGUUGGUGAGAGGGAGGGCAGAGUGGCCUCUAGUUUGGUGGCCCGACGACAUUACAGGUUAAUACAUGGGAUAGGACGAUCUAGUGACAUCGCUGCAACUCAACCUAAGGAUGCAGGUUCCAGUCUGCUGAGCAAGCUGACUAAUUCAGUUGUGCUGGACAUUUUAAAACUCAGGUGUGCAAAGUGUGGCCAGUUGUUUUGUAGUUCCAAUGGCAACCAGGAUGAGCCUGACACUGUGCUUCCUAACACUUCGCCACAAGAGACCAAAGGCGCGCUACAUCAUCUGGCCCCUCAUUGACCAGAAGUCCUGCUUCAAUGCCAUGAUCACUGCAGGUUAAGUACUAGCAUGACCGUGUUCAAUACCACUCUCUGUAACAUUAUAAAAGUAAGUUAUGCCCUACAGUUUCUUGUACUCCCCAUUCCUGCUCUAGAUGCACCUAUCAGUUCAGCUAGUUUUGAAAAUGACUUAACUUUUCUAAGAGCAGCCUAAAAUGCAUGCUAUACUUGACUCGUAGGGCCUAACUUUUGCAGAGUGUGACACGCUCCCGUUCAUUCAUCCCUGCUUAGUGCAGCAUUUCUCUCUGUUUCUAUUUUCAAGAAUUCGGCGCACGGCUCACACAUGAAAACACUUAAUAAAGUAUCUUGCGCUCUGCUCAUGCCGGCAAAUGUUAUGCGUCCACUACCCCACUGUAGCUCCCAUGCAAGGCAACUCUUGUCCAACCCCAACAUUGACCACUUUUGCUCGUUGUAACCAUGAACAGGGUUUGAACCCAUGGUGGUGAGAACAUUUUGGAAGGCGAUGAGCUGAGAACAGAUCUGGAGUCUGUGGACCUUAAGAUGCAAGAGCUGGGAGCAGAGAACAUCAUUUGUGUCCACUCCACUACUUCUUGCUUUGCCAUCCAAUCAUGGUUAAAUAGAGCUGUAACAAAUAAAAUGUCCAUGUCCUAUUAUCAUGUGCUAUUAUAACUGGUAUCACUGGAAACAAAUGUUAUUUGUAUAGUCUGCAUACUGUUUUAUUGUAUAGUCGACUUCAUGACAUUACUCACAGAAGCAUACUUCCAUAUUAUUACAGUGUAUGUUGGGUGAAGAUUACCAGGGCAUUAUUUGAUAAUGACUUUCCUCUGUUCUGGCAGAUUGGAGGAGCUAGCCACAAUGUGUGCCAAAUAUGACAUCCUCCAUGUUGUCAACAAUGCUUAUGGAGUGCAGUCAUCCAAGUGUAUGCACUUUCUUCAGCAGGGGGCUUGUGUUGGAAGAAUCGAUGCCUUUGUACAAAGCCUGGACAAAAACUUCAUGGUUCCAGUAGGUGGUGCCACAAUUGCUGAGUCUUUUAUUUCAGGAGAUCAGCAGAAUGUAUCCAGGUUAGUGCUGUUUCAUAUCACUAUGGGCCAUAUGUGUUUGAACCAAGCCUGCAACCUUUUUGUGUAAAGUUGCUAUUACCUGGAUUAGCUACUAGUUUACUGUUAUCAUAGGGCUCAUCUAGUGUAAUUGUUCCGCCAGCCCUCAGUGUCUCUGUGCUCUGUUGUAUUCCUGUGUGUCUGUAUUGUCUCUGUCUGUCUUAUGCUGGUGACACAUUCCAUUUCCCCUCUGAAAUAUUGGAAGUUUGUUCAUUUUGGUAGCACAGGGUCUCGAUCUAAUGCCCAUCUUGGGGAAGCUACUUGGUGUGCUGGAUUAUAUUCCAGCCCAGUACUAACGCCAGAUUCAAAUAAUCAACAUGUCAUGAAAUCAGGUAUGUUAGUGCUUGGCUACAAUAAAGACCUGCAUGUGGUAGUAUGUGUUGUAGUAGGAUAUGUUGCCUAAAAUAUGAGAAUAAAAUAAACAGAAAUGUCAGUUUGCAACUAUUUCAAGUGAGUGCUGGUCCCCUUUUUUCCUUGUUAUGUGAUUGACUGUUGACUUCAAGCUUCCUUUCUCUGUUUUUACUUAAGAAUAUAGAUUUGAGUGCAUUCCUUUCCUUUUACCUCUAAUAAUGUUCUCUAGGAUUGGAGUUGGAGACAACUGGGCUAGAUUUGAGGCAUUCAAAGCCAUAAUAAUGAUCAAUUAAUUAUAUGAAUUGGAACCAUUUAAGGAAACAAAUAAUUGAGAGGAAUCAGUAUUGGUACUGAAAUUGAUACAGUCCUAGUAAGGGUUCAGGUUAGAAAGUGUUUGUGCCCUUUUAGUAUGAUGCUGACUGCCCUCUGUCUACAGGUCAAGCAUCAGCCUCCCCCUGCCCGGAUGUGCUCAUCACCCUGCUCACCAUGGGGGCCAGCGGCUACAGGAAAAAGGACAAUGACCCAACACAAGGGCUAUUUGACCAAGAAGGAGAGUGACGGAGUGCAGC
Oncorhynchus tshawytscha (Chinook salmon) is the source of this 2777-nucleotide long non-coding RNA. RefSeq lists it as uncharacterized. Lineage: Eukaryota; Metazoa; Chordata; Actinopteri; Salmoniformes; Salmonidae. The record is from RefSeq and is a predicted model, not a curated record. The transcript has 5 exons.